GUAAAGUGACAAUCACAAGAAAGUAAAUUUAUAAAAUAACAAAAAAUUGUUGGAAAUAAACAGCAGAAGUUGCCUGACUUGCUGAGGAUUUCCAGUAUUUUCAGUUUUAAAUUUAAUUUCUGGCAGCUGCAGUUUUUUUUGCUUUCAAGAAUUUCAAAAUGGCUACAGAGGUGGGGAGCAAAGGCUGAGGACUGUAAAAGACAAAAGAAUGUGAUCCAUGGAAACAGAAGUGAUUCUACAUUAAAAGAGAGCGAUCAGUGUGGAAGGAAUUGGUCAUCAGACAUGAAGGAACAAAAAUUAAAAAUCAAAAACUGCAGAUGCUGGAAAACUGAAAUGAAAACAGAAAAUUCAGAAAACACGCAGCAGGUCAGACAACAUCUGUUGAAAGAGAAACAGAAUAAAUGUCUCCAGUCAAGAUCGCUUCAUCAGAACUGGGAAAGAAAGAACAAGUUACGUGGUAACAGGCCCUUCCGGUCCAAUGAGUCCGUGCAGCCCAUUUUAAACUCAUGUUAACCUACCCGUACGUAGUUUGGAAUGUGGGAGGAAACCAGAGCACCUGGAGGAAACCCACACAGACACGGGAGAACGUACAAACUCCUUACAGACAGCGACGGGAAUCGAACCCCGAUGGCUGACGCUGUAAUAGCGUCGUGCUAACUGCUACGCUACUGUGCCGCCUUAUAAUAUUAUAAAGGUUGUAAUCUCUUGGUCAGGCAGAGCUGCUGAACUCCGCUUUUAGCAGUCUGAGUUUUCGAUGAUAUCAUGCUACAAUAAAGAU
Molecule: long non-coding RNA, 778 nt
Organism: Pristis pectinata (smalltooth sawfish)
Lineage: Eukaryota; Metazoa; Chordata; Chondrichthyes; Rhinopristiformes; Pristidae
Exons: 3
Source: RefSeq, a predicted model, not a curated record